AACGAACGCUGGCGGCGUGCCUUACACAUGCAAGUCGAACGAGAAAGGGGCUUCGGCUCCGAGUCAAGUGGCGCACGGGUGAGUAACACGUGGGUAACCUGCCUCUAAGAUUGGGAUAACUCGUCGAAAGAUGAGCUAAUACCGAAUAAGACCACAGUUCCCGCGGGAACAGGGGUCAAAGUUAGCCUCUGCUUGCAAGCUAUCACUUGGAGAUGGGCCUGCGCACCAUUAGCUAGUUGGUAGGGUAACGGCCUACCAAGGCAAAGAUGGUUAGCUGGGCUGAGAGGAUGAUCAGCCACACUGGAACUGAGACACGGGCCAGACUCCUACGGGGGGCAGCAGUGGGGAAUAUUGCGCAAUGGGCGAAAGCCUGACGCAGCAACGCCGCGUGAGGGAUGAAGGCCUUCGGGUCGUAAAGCUCUGUCGGGAGGAACGAAUGCUCCUGAGGUUAACAGCCUCGGGAGGUGACGGUACCUUCAAAGGAAGCACCGGCUAACUCUGUG
Molecule: ribosomal RNA, 503 nt
Filed under: uncultured bacterium
Lineage: Bacteria
Description: partial 16S ribosomal RNA
Rfam family: Bacterial small subunit ribosomal RNA
Source: RNAcentral